AGGAGAAGGAGGAGAAGGAGAGGGAGAAGGAGAAGGAGAAGAAGGAGAAGGAGAAGGAGGAGAAGGAGAGGGAGAAGGAGAAGGAGAAGGAGGAGAAGGAGAGGGAGAAGGAGAGGGAGAGGGAGAAAUGGAUAGACAUGGCAAUAUCAAGAAUGGCUGAAAGUGAGAAGAGAAAAUGGGAGGAGAGGAGGAUAAGGGAGGAAGAAAGACAAACUGAGGUGGAGUGGAAAAGGAUUGAGGCAGAGAGAAGCAAAGUGGAAGAAAUGAAAUUGACAGAGAGAAUUGAGCUGGAGAUCCUGAGGAAGAAAAGGAAGGUGGGAGAGGAAAAGCAGAGAGGGAAGGAAGCCAUCGAGAGGGGAAAGGACGCAAUAAGAAAGAAGGCUCUUGAAAAGGAGAGGGGAAGCAUUGAAAAAGAGAGAGUGAAACUGAUGGAGGAGAAGAGGGCGGUAGAGGAAAUGAAGGCUAGAGUUGACCAAGAUAGACUGGAGAUUGAAGAAAUAAAGCUAAGAGAGACUCAACAAAGAGAGCUAGAAUAUGUGAACAGAAAGAAAGAGUUGGAGGGUGAGAAAAGAAAGGCUGAUGCAAAGAGAGAGAGAAUGAGGGAAGAAAUGGAGAAAGGUCUGAAGGAGGUGGAGGUGCAGAAAGAGAAACUUGAAGAAAACGAGAUGAGGCUCAGGGAGAAGUUAGCAAAGAAGAAAGAGAAGGUUCUCAUGAGAAAGAAAGAGUUGGAGGAUGAAUGUCAAAAAAUUGAAACUGAAAAAAGGAGAGUUGAAGAGGAAUUGAAGGCGGUGCAGGAGAAAGUGAAUCUCCUGAAAGCACAACUGCUGGAGGGCAAAAGAAAGAUGGAGAUGCAGAGAAAUGAGGAGGGAAUGAGCAAGUCAAGGGUGGAGCAAGAGUGGAAGAUGCUUGAGAUGGAGAAAAAGAGAAUGGAGGAGAAAAUGGAGAUGGAGAGGAAAGAGGUGGAGGCUCAGAGACUGCACCUGCAAGAGAAGGAGAGAAAGCUCAAGGAGGACGUGACAAUGAAGAAAGAGAAGAACGCCUCAAAAAAGAAAGAGGUUGAGGAAGGAUGGAAAAAUAUUGAGGCAGAGAGGAAAACUGAAAAUGAGAGGAUGACAUCAAGAAAGAAGGAGGUCGAGGAUGAGUGGAAAAAGAUCGAAACUGAGAGGAGGACAAUGGAGGAGAGGAUAGAGACUGAAGUCAAUAAAGUGGAGAUGCAGAGACAGAGACUGCUGAAGAUGGAGAAAGAGAAUUGGGACAGAAAGGAGCCAAAGCCUGAAGCCUGUAACAAUGAUUCUCCUGGAAAGUGUGAUGAGAGUAGAGACAGACAAGAGACUAAACCAAACAAAAACAUGAAUGUGGAAGAAUGCACUCAGGACAAGACUGUAGGUCAAAAGAAUAACGAUAGGAAAGAAUCAGAGAAAAGAAAAGCACCCAAGAUGCAAGUUGAGG
Clupea harengus (Atlantic herring) is the source of this 1449-nucleotide long non-coding RNA. The record is from Ensembl. NCBI's taxonomy places the organism in Eukaryota, Metazoa, Chordata, Actinopteri, Clupeiformes, Clupeidae.